UCUCCAUGAUGAUGAAUACAUAUGACGAGUCUAAUGCAAUCCAUUCAGUUGAAUUGUGUGGACAAUCAAGGCAUCUGCCAGAGAGAA
Non-coding RNA from Triticum aestivum (bread wheat), 87 nucleotides. NCBI's taxonomy places the organism in Eukaryota, Viridiplantae, Streptophyta, Magnoliopsida, Poales, Poaceae. The record is from Rfam.